ACGGCAGCGCGGGAGCAAUCCUGGCGGCGAGUGGCGAACGGGUGAGUAAUACAUCGGAACGUGCCCAAUCGUGGGGGAUAACGCAGCGAAAGCUGUGCUAAUACCGCAUACGAUCUACGGAUGAAAGCAGGGGAUCGCAAGACCUUGCGCGAAUGGAGCGGCCGAUGGCAGAUUAGGUAGUUGGUGAGGUAAAGGCUCACCAAGCCUUCGAUCUGUAGCUGGUCUGAGAGGACGACCAGCCACACUGGGACUGAGACACGGCCCAGACUCCUACGGGAGGCAGCAGUGGGGAAUUUUGGACAAUGGGCGAAAGCCUGAUCCAGCCAUGCCGCGUGCAGGAUGAAGGCCUUCGGGUUGUAAACUGCUUUUGUACGGAACGAAACGGCCUUUUCUAAUAAAGAGGGCUAAUGACGGUACCGUAAGAAUAAGCACCGGCUAACUACGUGCCAGCAGCCGCGGUAAUACGUAGGGUGCAAGCGUUAAUCGGAAUUACUGGGCGUAAAGCGUGCGCAGGCGGUUAUGUAAGACAGUUGUGAAAUCCCCGGGCUCAACCUGGGAACUGCAUCUGUGACUGCAUAGCUAGAGUACGGUAGAGGGGGAUGGAAUUCCGCGUGUAGCAGUGAAAUGCGUAGAUAUGCGGA
Molecule: ribosomal RNA, 641 nt
Filed under: uncultured beta proteobacterium
Lineage: Bacteria; Pseudomonadati; Pseudomonadota; Betaproteobacteria
Description: bacterial SSU rRNA
Rfam family: Bacterial small subunit ribosomal RNA
Source: RNAcentral